Molecule: non-coding RNA, 73 nt
Organism: Hyaena hyaena (striped hyena)
Lineage: Eukaryota; Metazoa; Chordata; Mammalia; Carnivora; Hyaenidae
Source: the annotation of a RefSeq genome assembly
ACCUGGCUGGCUCAGUUGGUAGAGCGUGUGACUCUGGAUCUCAGGACCAUGAGUUUGAAUCCCACGUUGGGCA